Anguilla rostrata (American eel) is the source of this 682-nucleotide long non-coding RNA. RefSeq lists it as uncharacterized. Lineage: Eukaryota; Metazoa; Chordata; Actinopteri; Anguilliformes; Anguillidae. The transcript is spliced from 2 exons. The record is from RefSeq and is a predicted model, not a curated record.
GCCUGUGACGGGGAGCAGGGAGUUAAAGCAGAGCGUCAGUAUGACAGCGUGUAAAACAGCGAGGGGAGAAGAGCACCGACUUCUGCUGGCGUGACAGACGGACGUGUGAGAAAAGACGGACGUGACACGGUGAAUAUAAGGAUGAGGGAAUGACAGAUUUCCUCUCGCCACGUCGUCCUGGAGAGUGUCGUUCCGCCGUGACGCGGCGCCGGACCCUUACCUGAAGUCGUAGAAGUCGGCGAACUCCAGAGCGGUGUCUCCGUCGGUGAAGAGCUUGCAGUGGCUCUUGUCGCUCAUGUGGGCCUGCACCGCCUCGGUGGAGUAGAAGGACCGGCCCUUCUCAUUGCACCAGAGACACACCUUCCCCACCCCCACCUUCUCCCCUGGGACAGGAGACAGAAGGCACCCAAUUAAGGAGCAUAAACACAAUUAUGCAGAAGGACACAGGUCUGCUGCUUCACUUCACUCUAGCGUCCAAUUAUUCAACGAAAGGGCAAAGCGCUAAAGUGCACGCGAGGUAUAGCCUUAUGCAUUUGUGGCAUUGUGUGAUCCCAACAACUAAAUCGAGGUGAUCGUGCGCUCCUUCAGCUAUGUCCUCUCCUUUGAUGUAAUGGAUGGAAGGUUGUUGAUAAGAGAGAUAUUCUUAAUUCCUGGACAAAUAAAUAUAAUUUAGGCCAAGCAA